GCUAGGGGAGCUUAUGCUGAGACUUGCCGCUCAUAUCUGCUGAUUCAGUUAUAUGAUGCGGUUUGACCCUCAAAACCUGAUCCGGUUAAUGCCGGCGUAGGGAAGCAGAAGAA
This 113-nucleotide non-coding RNA is filed under the name human gut metagenome. The record is from RNAcentral.